This is a transfer RNA of 74 nucleotides. It matches the Rfam family "tRNA". From Rfam's summary of the family: Transfer RNA (tRNA) molecules are approximately 80 nucleotides in length. Their secondary structure includes four short double-helical elements and three loops (D, anti-codon, and T loops).
GGGCCCGUGGUCUAGUUGGUUAUGACAUCGCCUUGACGUGGCGGGAAUCACCGGUUCGAAUCCGGUCGGGCCCA